RNAcentral lists this ribosomal RNA (674 nucleotides) under uncultured fungus. Its description in RNAcentral is "eukaryotic LSU rRNA". It matches the Rfam family "Eukaryotic large subunit ribosomal RNA", at positions 1 to 664 of the family's 3401-position model. Lineage: Eukaryota; Fungi. The record is from RNAcentral.
GAAAAUUUACCUCGCAUAUUAGAGCUGCGUGGCCGCGAAUUCGCACUUACCCGCUGAGCUUAAGCAUAUCAGUAAGCGGAGGAAAAGAAACCAACAGGGAUCGCCUCAGUAACGGCGAGUGAAGCGGCAACAGCUCAAAUUUGAAAUCUGGCUCUUUUAGGGUCCGAGUUGUAAUUUGUAGAGGAUGCUUCGGCGUCGGCUCCGGUCUAAGUUCCUUGGAACAGGACGUCAUAGAGGGUGAGAAUCCCGUAUGUGAUCGGUUGCCCUUGCCAUGUGAAGCUCCUUCGACGAGUCGAGUUGUUUGGGAAUGCAGCUCUAAAUGGGAGGUAAAUUUCUUCUAAAGCUAAAUACUGGCCAGAGACCGAUAGCGCACAAGUAGAGUGAUCGAAAGAUGAAAAGCACUUUGGAAAGAGAGUCAAAAAGUACGUGAAAUUGUUGAAAGGGAAGCGCUUGCAACCAGACCUGCCUGCAGUUGCUCAUCCGGGCUUUUGCCCGGUGCACUCUUCUGCUGUCAGGCCAGCAUCAGUCCGGGCGGUCGGAUAAAGGCUUCGGGAAUGUAGCUCCUCUCGAGGAGUGUUAUAGCCCGUUGCGAAAUGCGGCCAGCCUGAACUGAGGUCCGCGCUUCGGCUAGGAUGCUGGCGUAAUGGUUGUAAGCGGCCCGUCUUGAAACACGG